CCUACGGGAGGCAGCAGUGAGGAAUAUUGGUCAAUGGGCGCGAGCCUGAACCAGCCAAGUAGCGUGAAGGAUGACUGCCCUACGGGUUGUAAACUUCUUUUAUAAAGGAAUAAAGUGAGGCACGUGUGCCUUUUUGUAUGUCCUUUUUGAAUAAGGAUCGGCUAACUCCGUGCCAGCAGCCGCGGUAAUACGGAGGAACCGAGCGUUAUCCGGGUUGAUUGGGUUUAAAGGGAGCGUAGAUGGGUUGUUAAGUCAGUAGUGAAAGUUUGCGGCUCAACCGUAAAAUUGCAAUUGAUACUGGCAGGCUUGAGUGCAGGUGGGGUAGGCGGAAUUCGUGGUGUAGCGGUGAAAUGCUUAGAUAUCACGAGGAACACCGAUGGCGAAGGCAGCUUACUAAACUGCCACUGACAUUGAUGCUCGAAAGUGUGGGUAUCAAACAGGAUUAGAUACCCCUGUAGUC
Molecule: ribosomal RNA, 460 nt
Filed under: uncultured bacterium
Lineage: Bacteria
Description: partial 16S ribosomal RNA
Rfam family: Bacterial small subunit ribosomal RNA
Source: RNAcentral